CAGAAACUGUAAUAUAUUAAUCUGUUUUAUAGCAUUUACAGAACUGUACGGCUUCAGUCGAAAACCUAAGACAACCAUGGGAAUUCAGACAUACCGUUGUCAGCUUCCAUUUUUACAAACCGUUUGAAUGAUAAUUACAACUCAAAUUGUAAAGUUAAAAGCAUGCACAUUAUACAUAUUCCAUACACUUGUUAUGUACAUUCAAC
This 206-nucleotide long non-coding RNA is filed under the name Mytilus galloprovincialis (Mediterranean mussel). Lineage: Eukaryota; Metazoa; Mollusca; Bivalvia; Mytilida; Mytilidae. The record is from RNAcentral.